UUUACAGUAUAAAUAUGUCCCAUGCAAUAUUUGGGGUAUACUUUUACUUAAA
Molecule: microRNA precursor, 52 nt
Filed under: Loxodonta africana (African savanna elephant)
Lineage: Eukaryota; Metazoa; Chordata; Mammalia; Proboscidea; Elephantidae
Description: mir-1302 microRNA precursor family
Rfam family: mir-1302 microRNA precursor family
Source: Rfam by way of RNAcentral